RNAcentral lists this ribosomal RNA (484 nucleotides) under uncultured bacterium. RNAcentral's name for it is "partial 16S ribosomal RNA". It matches the Rfam family "Bacterial small subunit ribosomal RNA", at positions 30 to 507 of the family's 1533-position model. The record is from RNAcentral.
AUUGAACGCUGGCGGCAGGCCUAACACAUGCAAGUCGAGCGGAUGAAGGGAGCUUGCUCCUGGAUUCAGCGGCGGACGGGUGAGUAAUGCCUAGGAAUCUGCCUGGUAGUGGGGGAUAACGUCCGGAAACGGGCGCUAAUACCGCAUACGUCCUGAGGGAGAAAGUGGGGGAUCUUCGGACCUCACGCUCUCAGAUGAGCCUAGGGCGGAUUAGCUAGUUGGUGGGGUAAAGGCCUACCAAGGCGACGAUCCGUAACUGGUCUGAGAGGAUGAUCAGUCACACUGGAACUGAGACACGGUCCAGACUCCUACGGGAGGCAGCAGUGGGGAAUAUUGGACAAUGGGCGAAAGCCUGAUCCAGCCAUGCCGCGUGUGUGAAGAAGGUCUUCGGAUUGUAAAGCACUUUAAGUUGGGAGGAAGGGCAGUAAGUUAAUACCUUGCUGUUUUGACGUUACCAACAGAAUAAGCACCGGCUAACUUCGUG